CUGCUACAACAUUAUCAACCUGCUACAACUCAACACAACAUUACCAACCUGCUACAACUAAAUACAACAUUAUCAACCUAUACAACUAAACACGACAUUAUCAACCUGCUACAACUAAAUACAACAUUACUAACCUGCUACAACAUUACCAACCUGCUACAAGUAAACACAACAUUACCAACCUGCUACAAUUAAACACAACAUUACCAACCUGCACAACUAAACACAACAUUACCAACCUGCUACAACUCAACACAACAUUACCAACCUGCUACAACUCAACACAACAUUACCAACCUGCUACAACUCAACACAACAUUACCAACCUGCUACAACUAAAUACAACAUUAUCAACCUGCUACAACAUUAUCAACCUGUACAACUAAACACAACAUUACCGACCUGCUACAACUCAACACAACAUUACCGACCUGCUACAACUCAACACAACAUUACCAACCUGCUACAACUCAACACAACAUUACCAACCUGCUACAACUAAAUACAACAUUAUCAACCUGCUACAACAUUAUCAACCUGUACAACUAAACACAACAUUAUCGACCUGCUACAACUAAACACAACAUUAUCGACCUGCUACACAGAGAGGAACCAAGCAUAAAUGUCUUUUUCCAUUGAUUGAAAAUAGCUGUCACUGCAGGGGGAUGUUUGUAGCCAUCUUUUCAUUUUAUUUUCUCCUUCAUGUGGGAACAUCUAUAAUAUUAGACCCAUCUCUUUAUUCUCUUGAAUGACCUGUACAGACCAGGGUCUGUACCGACCCCGAGCUGGACUGAGGAGGUUUUAUACAGACCAGGGUCUGUAUCGACCCAGAGCUGGACUGAGGAGGUUUUAUACAGACCAGGGUCUGUACCGAGCUGGACUGAGGAGGUUUUAUACAGACCAGGGUCUGUAUCGACCCAGAGCUGGACUGAGGGGUUUUAUACAGACCAGGGUCUGUACCGACCCAGAGCUGGACUGAGGAGGUUUUAUACAGACCAGGGUCUGUAUCGACCCCGAGCUGGACUGAGGAGGUUUUAUACAGACCAGGGUCUGUACCGACCCCGAGCUGGACUGAGGAGGUUUUAUACAGACCAGGGUCUGUACUGAGCUGGACUGAGGAGGUUUUAUACAGACCAGGGUCUGUACCGACCCCGAGCUGGACUGAGGAGGUUUUAUACAGACCAGGGUCUGUGAUCAACCAAGAUGGACUGAGGAGGUUUUAUACAGACCAGGAUCUGUACCGACCCAGAACUGAACUGAGGAGGUUUUAUACAGACCAGGGUCUGUACCGACCCAGAGCUGGACUGAGGAGGUUUUAUACAGACCAGGGUCUGUACCGACCCAGAGCUGGACUGAGGAGGUUUUAUACAGACCAGGGUCUGUACCGACCCAGAACUGGACUGAGGAGGUUUUAUACAGACCAGGGUCUGUACCGACCCCGAGCUGCACUGAGGAGGUUUUAUACAGACCAGGGUCUGUACCGACCCCGAGCUGGACUGAGGAGGUUUUAUACAGACCAGGGUCUGUACCGAGCUGGACUGAGGAGGUUUUAUACAGACCAGGGUCUGUAUCGACCCAGAGCUGGACUGAGGGGUUUUAUACAGACCAGGGUCUGUACCGACCCAGAGCUGGACUGAGGAGGUUUUAUACAGACCAGGGUCUGUAUCGACCCCGAGCUGGACUGAGGAGGAUUUAUACAGACCAGGGUCUGUACCGAGCUGGACUGAGGGGUUUUAUACAGACCAGGGUCUGUACCGAGCUGGACUGAGGAGGUUUUAUACAGACCAGGGUCUGUACCGACCCAGAGCUGGACUGAGGAGGUUCUAUACCUGGUCUGUGUUCAACCAAGAUGGAAGAGGAACGACUCAAACAUCCGAAUCUUAGUGCCAAGGUUACCGUGGAAACAGAGGAGGGGAACUGAUUUGUCUAAGUAACUAAUAUUAAAACAUUAAAAAAAUAAGUGUUAUGUAAAGUUGUUAUUGUCUAUUUGUUGGAGCGUAAACAGAGAAACACCAGAUGGGACGAUGUGCGUUGUUGUCCUGUCAGGAGUGGAUUGAUUGAUUGAUUGAUUGAUUGAUUGAUUGAUUGAUUGAUU
Molecule: long non-coding RNA, 2095 nt
Filed under: Salmo salar (Atlantic salmon)
Lineage: Eukaryota; Metazoa; Chordata; Actinopteri; Salmoniformes; Salmonidae
Description: lncRNA (ENSSSAG00000092404.1)
Source: RNAcentral